This is a non-coding RNA of Pelobates cultripes (western spadefoot toad), 448 nucleotides long. Lineage: Eukaryota; Metazoa; Chordata; Amphibia; Anura; Pelobatidae. The record is from the annotation of a GenBank genome assembly.
GGGAUCGUUCCUACAACCAGAAAGACAGCUACAGGGCAACACCAUUCCUUGGAUUACAAAGUGAGGGCAACGCCAGUACCCGUACAGCGACCCUAUCUACAAAAGAACUAACUUCAGCAGCGCAAGCAUGGCACCCAGCUACACUCAGGAGCAGUAUGACAGAGAGUUUACCAUGCGGCUGGCUUUCUUUGGACCCAACCCCCCGGAGAAAUACGUGCAGUUUGUAAGGAGCCAGGUAGACGAGUACCUGGAGUUCAUGGCAGAUCCAGCCAAAGGUAUCAGCCGCCCUAUCCGGAGGCAGAGUGCGUUACGGGGACUCAUAGGUGUGUCCCAGGGAGCAGAAGGUGUCGUCCUUCCUCCCCAGCGGCAGUGUGUAUCCCAGGGAGCUGAAGGUACCGUCCUUCCUCCCCAGCGGCAGUGUGUAUCCCAGGGAGCUGAAGGUACCGUC